UACGGAGGGUGCAAGCGUUAAUCGGAAUUACUGGGCGUAAAGGGCUCGUAGGCGGCCAACUAAGUCCGACGUGAAAUCCCAAAGCUUAACUUUGGAACUGCGUCGGAUACUGGAUGGCUUGAAUUCGGGAGAGGGAUGCAGAAUUCCAGGUGUAGCGGUGAAAUGCGUAGAUAUCUGGAGGAAUACCGGUGGCGAAGGCGGCAUCCUGGACCGACAUUGACGCUGAGGAGCGAAAGCUAGGGGAGCAAACGGG
RNAcentral lists this ribosomal RNA (253 nucleotides) under uncultured bacterium. RNAcentral describes it as "partial 16S ribosomal RNA". It matches the Rfam family "Bacterial small subunit ribosomal RNA", at positions 524 to 776 of the family's 1533-position model. The record is from RNAcentral.